CCACUAAGAAUGAAAGUGAAGCUGCUACAGUUCCUUAAGAACCACUGGUUGAAGCCAGAAAUGGGCAGUCUGCAGUGUCCAUUGUAGGUGCUUGGCGAGCAGGAGAUUGCCUUUUUUGCUUUUCUGGAGCAGGACAUUUACAGCAAAGAUCUAAACAUGUUAAAGACUCCAGUGAAAGUUCAGAAAGUCACUUCAGGGCACACCUUCGGUGCUGAUGAACAACUGCUGAGUGAAGUGAAGAAGAGGAUACCACUGACAAUCACAGAAUGGCUGCAAAGCUUGAUCAUCGUUUUCUGCCCAGUCACUUCUCGGGUUGGAUCAGAUGUGGAAGCAGCUAUGAGUCGGGUGCCAGCAGGAGAUCAAAAAGUCAUUCUGGUUGUGAUGCACCACGUCCGAGAUGAGAACUACUCCACAGCUGGGACCCAGUGGUCUGAAACGUUUCCUAAUGUCAUCUUGGAUGUUCAUGUUCUCUUCCAUGAGACUGUGCAAGGAUUACUAUCUUGUGCUAAAAAUGGGGAGGCGGUCAAUCAAAUAGUUUAUACAUUACUUCAACUGUCACCGGAUCAACAGAUAAUAAACAGUCAGACACAAGGGUUACUAAGAUGUCGUGACGAGCCUUCAGGGAUAUGUUUUCCCUAUUGGAAGAUUGUUCUUGCAUUUAUUGUGGUUGUGUUUAUCAUACUCCUUAUCAUUUUCUUGUCAUAGUGGAGAUCAACACAUGGAAAGUUAAAAAAGGAUAUGUUUCAUGUAUAAGACGUUCACUGUGUUCUCAAUAAAACUCAAAAUGCAUUGUAUUUAAAAAAUUACACCAAUUUUUUCUUAAAGUAGACCAUGUAACAAAUACUGUUGAAAACAGAUAACAUAAAUAAAAAUGGUUAAUUUAUGGCAUUGUUAUUG
This is a long non-coding RNA of Fundulus heteroclitus (mummichog), 897 nucleotides long. RefSeq lists it as uncharacterized. The record is from RefSeq and is a predicted model, not a curated record. NCBI's taxonomy places the organism in Eukaryota, Metazoa, Chordata, Actinopteri, Cyprinodontiformes, Fundulidae. The transcript is spliced from 4 exons.